UGCUCCUAUAGGUUAGCGGGGGGGGGGUGAGGUACAGUGGGGCAACCUGCCCUGGAGAUGGGGAAAAUUUGGGGAACCGGGAGCUAAUACCGGAUAACACCGAAAACCCGCAUGGUUUUCGGUUGAAAGGCGGCUUUUAGCUGUCACUGCAGGAUGGGCCCGCGGCGCAUUAGCUAGUUGGUGAGGUAACGGCUCACCAAGGCGACGAUGCGUAGCCGACCUGAGAGGGUGACCGGCCACACUGGGACUGAGACACGGCCCAGACUCCUACGGGAGGCAGCAGUAGGGAAUCUUCCGCAAUGGACGAAAGUCUGACGGAGCAACGCCGCGUGAGCGAAGAAGGUCUUCGGAUCGUAAAGCUCUGUUGUCAGGGAAGAACAAGUGCCGUUCGAACAGGGCGGUACCUUGACGGUACCUGACGAGGAAGCCACGGCUAACUACGUGCCAGCAGCCGCGGUAAUACGUAGGUGGCAAGCGUUGUCCGGAAUUAUUGGGCGUAAAGCGCGCGCAGGCGGUUCCUUAAGUCUGAUGUGAAAUCUCGCGGCUCAACCGCGAGCGGCCAUUGGAAACUGGGGAACUUGAGUGCAGGAGAGGGGAGCGGAAUUCCACGUGUAGCGGUGAAAUGCGUAGAGAUGUGGAGGAACACCAGUGGCGAAGGCGGCUCUCUGGCCUGUAACUGACGCUGAGGCGCGAAAGCGUGGGGAGCGAACAGGAUUA
This 717-nucleotide ribosomal RNA is filed under the name uncultured bacterium. Its description in RNAcentral is "bacterial SSU rRNA". It matches the Rfam family "Bacterial small subunit ribosomal RNA", at positions 80 to 780 of the family's 1533-position model. The record is from RNAcentral.